RNAcentral lists this unclassified non-coding RNA (592 nucleotides) under Hevea brasiliensis (rubber tree). The record is from RNAcentral. Lineage: Eukaryota; Viridiplantae; Streptophyta; Magnoliopsida; Malpighiales; Euphorbiaceae.
CAUCAUUAUCUGUUUGUUUUGGCUAAAUAAAAUUAAAUAGGAAUGCCACAUCUGAAAUGAGUUACACCAGAUAGUAAAGGUGAUGCAUCUUCUAAUAUUCCCAGGCAUGUUAAAAAAAUGAAAUAUUUAAGAUAAUUUAUAGGUGAUGAAACGUUUUUCAUGAUAAGAAAGCUUUCAUUUUGACUGAUGUAUUUAUUAAUUUUGCCUCCAUAGUCUUUAUUAUUUAUAUAUUAAUGCCAAAAUCACUUCACGCAUGAUCAAGCUUGUGGGGAUGACAGCAGUCUAAUCAGAGCAGUGUAGCUCUGUUGAACUUUGAUUCAUGUGAGUUAUGUCAAAUGUUGUAUGUAUGGCCACUUUCCUGGUUUCAGAAGUUGCUCUAAAUCAUGAGUGAACAAAUACUAAAUGCUCCACCUGCUAGCGGGCCAUUCAUGUGUUCAGCCUUCGUUUAACAACUGUCAUCUGAUGUUUCUAAAUGCCACAUAUUUAUAAUUUGGCUGCCAUGACAUGGUCGUACACAUUUCUACACUCAGCAUAUUUGUUACUUGGGUAAACAUGACCUUUGAACUGCUUUGACAUGUGUCUAAAAUUUCAG